This 390-nucleotide ribosomal RNA is filed under the name Citrobacter amalonaticus. RNAcentral's name for it is "bacterial SSU rRNA". It matches the Rfam family "Bacterial small subunit ribosomal RNA", at positions 421 to 802 of the family's 1533-position model. Lineage: Bacteria; Pseudomonadati; Pseudomonadota; Gammaproteobacteria; Enterobacterales; Enterobacteriaceae. The record is from RNAcentral.
GGUUGUAAAGUACUUUCAGCGGGGAGGAAGGGAGUGAGGUUAAUAACCUCAUUCAUUGACGUUACCCGCAGAAGAAGCACCGGCUAACUCCGUGCCAGCAGCCGCGGUAAUACGGAGGGUGCAAGCGUUAAUCGGAAUUACUGGGCGUAAAGCGCACGCAGGCGGUCUGUCAAGUCGGAUGUGAAAUCCCCGGGCUCAACCUGGGAACUGCAUUCGAAACUGGCAGGCUUGAGUCUCGUAGAGGGGGGUAGAAUUCCAGGUGUAGCGGUGAAAUGCGUAGAGAUCUGGAGGAAUACCGGUGGCGAAGGCGGCCCCCUGGACGAAGACUGACGCUCAGGUGCGAAAGCGUGGGGAGCAAACAGGAUUAGAACCCCCCGGUAGCAGAUGGAG